UUCGCCCUUAGAGUUUGAUCCUGGCUCAAGACGAACGCUGGCGGCGUGCCUAACACAUGCAAGUCGAACGGAGAAUUUUAUUUCGGUAGAAUUCUUAGUGGCGAGCGGGUGAGUAACGCGUAGGCAACCUGCCCUUUAGACGGGGACAACAUUCCGAAAGGAGUGCUAAUACCGGAUGUGAUCAUCUUGCCGCAUGGCAGGAUGAAGAAAGAUGGCCUCUACAAGUAAGCUAUCGCUAAAGGAUGGGCCUGCGUCUGAUUAGCUAGUUGGUAGUGUAACGGACUACCAAGGCGAUGAUCAGUAGCCGGUCUGAGAGGAUGAACGGCCACAUUGGGACUGAGACACGGCCCAAACUCCUACGGGAGGCAGCAGCGGGGAAUCUUCCGCAAUGGACGAAAGUCUGACGGAGCAAACGCCGCGUGAGUGAUGAAGGAUUUCGGUCUGUAAAGCUCUGUUGUUUAUGACGAAUUGUGCAGUGUGUGAACAAUGCAUUGCAAUGACGGUAGUAAACGAGGAAGCCACGGCUAACUACGUGCCAGCAGCCGCGGUAAUACGUAGGUGGCGAGCGUUGUCCGGAAUUAUUGGGCGUAAAGAGCAUGUAGGCGGCUUAAUAAGUCGAGCGUGAAAAUGCGGGGCUCAACCCCGUAUGGCGCUGGAAACUGUUAGGCUUGAGUGCAGGAGAGGAAAGGGGAAUUCCCAGUGUAGCGGUGAAAUGCGUAGAUAUUGGGAGGAACACCAGUGGCGCAGGCGCCUUUCUGGACUGUGUCUGACGCUGAGAUGCGAAAGCCAGGGUAGCGAACGGGAUUAGAUUCCCCGGUAGUCCUGGCCGUAAACGAUGGGU
This 841-nucleotide ribosomal RNA is filed under the name uncultured bacterium. Its description in RNAcentral is "bacterial SSU rRNA". It matches the Rfam family "Bacterial small subunit ribosomal RNA", at positions 1 to 814 of the family's 1533-position model. The record is from RNAcentral.